ACGGGAGGCAGCAGUCGGGAAUAUUGCGCAAUGGAGGAAACUCUGACGCAGUGACGCCGCGUGCAGGAUGAAGGUUUUCGGAUUGUAAACUGCUUUAGAUAGGGAAGAAAAAAAUGACGGUACCUAUAGAAUAAGCUCCGGCUAACUACGUGCCAGCAGCCGCGGUAAUACGUAGGGAGCAAGCGUUAUCCGGAUUUAUUGGGUGUAAAGGGUGCGUAGACGGAUUAGCAAGUUAGUUGUGAAAUCCCUCGGCUUAACUGAGGAACUGCAACUAAAACUACUAGUCUUGAGUGCUGGAGGGGAGAAUGGAAUUCCUAGUGUAGCGGUGAAAUGCGUAGAUAUUAGGAAGAACACCGGUGGCGAAGGCGAUUCUCUGGACAGUAACUGACGUUGAGGCACGAAAGUGUGGGGAGCAAACAGGAUUAGAUACCCUGGUA
RNAcentral lists this ribosomal RNA (437 nucleotides) under uncultured Oscillospiraceae bacterium. RNAcentral's name for it is "bacterial SSU rRNA". It matches the Rfam family "Bacterial small subunit ribosomal RNA", at positions 341 to 792 of the family's 1533-position model. Lineage: Bacteria; Bacillati; Bacillota; Clostridia; Eubacteriales; Oscillospiraceae. The record is from RNAcentral.